Molecule: transfer RNA, 65 nt
Filed under: Hypsicera sp. ZJUH_2016019
Lineage: Eukaryota; Metazoa; Arthropoda; Insecta; Hymenoptera; Ichneumonidae
Description: tRNA-Phe
Source: RNAcentral
AUUUAAAUAGCUUAAUAAUAAAGUUUAAUAUUGAAGAUAUUAAGAUGAUUAAAUAUCUUUAAAUA